CCUACGGGAGGCAGCAGUGGGGAAUAUUGGACAAUGGGCGCAAGCCUGAUCCAGCCAUGCCGCGUGAGUGAUGAAGGUCUUAGGAUUGUAAAGCUCUUUCACCGAUGAAGAUAAUGACGGUAGUCGGAGAAGAAGCCCCUGCUAACUUUGUGCCAGCAGCCGCGGUAAU
This 169-nucleotide ribosomal RNA is filed under the name uncultured bacterium. RNAcentral's name for it is "partial 16S ribosomal RNA". It matches the Rfam family "Bacterial small subunit ribosomal RNA", at positions 338 to 524 of the family's 1533-position model. The record is from RNAcentral.